UACGUAGGGUGCGAGCGUUAAUCGGAAUUACUGGGCGUAAAGCGUGCGCAGGCGGUUAUAUAAGACAGUUGUGAAAUCCCCGGGCUCAACCUGGGAAUUGCAUCUGUGACUGUAUAGCUAGAGUACGGUAGAGGGGAUGGAAUUCCGCGUGUAGCAGUGAAAAUGCGUAGAUAUGCGGAGGAACACCGAUGGCGAAGGCAAUCCCCUGGACCUGUACUGACGCUCAUGCACGAAAGCGUGGGGGAGCAAACAGG
Molecule: ribosomal RNA, 254 nt
Filed under: uncultured bacterium
Lineage: Bacteria
Description: partial 16S ribosomal RNA
Rfam family: Bacterial small subunit ribosomal RNA
Source: RNAcentral